GACGAACGCUGGCGGCGUGCUUAACACAUGCAAGUCGAACGGAAAGGCCCUGCUUGCAGGGUACUCGAGUGGCGAACGGGUGAGUAACACGUGGGUGAUCUGCCCUGCACUUCGGGAUAAGCCUGGGAAACUGGGUCUAAUACCGGAUAGGAGCCAUUUUUAGUGUGAUGGUUGGAAAGUUUUUUCGGUGUAGGAUGAGCUCGCGGCCUACCAGGUUGUUGGUGGGGUAAUGGCCUACCAAGGCGGCGACGGGUAGGCGGCCUGGGGGGGUGGACGGCCACAUUGGGACUGGGGAACGGCCCAGACUCCUACGGGGGGCAGCAGGGGGGAAAAUUGGACAAUGGGCGCGAGCCUGAUGCAGCGACGCCGCGGGGGGGAUGACGGCCUUCGGGUUGUAAACUCCUUUCGCUAGGGACGGAGCUGUUUGUGACGGUACCUAGAUAAGAAGCACCGGCUAACUACGUG
Molecule: ribosomal RNA, 465 nt
Filed under: uncultured bacterium
Lineage: Bacteria
Description: partial 16S ribosomal RNA
Rfam family: Bacterial small subunit ribosomal RNA
Source: RNAcentral